This 305-nucleotide ribosomal RNA is filed under the name uncultured bacterium. RNAcentral's name for it is "partial 16S ribosomal RNA". It matches the Rfam family "Bacterial small subunit ribosomal RNA", at positions 506 to 809 of the family's 1533-position model. The record is from RNAcentral.
ACAGCAGCAGCCACGGUAAUACGGAGGGUGCAAGCGUUAAUCGGAAUUACUGGGCGUAAAGCGCACGCAGGCGGUCUGACAAGUCAGAUGUGAAAUCCCCGGGCUUAACCUGGGAACUGCAUUUGAAACUGUCAGGCUGGAGUCUUGUAGAGGGGGGUGGAAUUCCAGGUGUAGCGGUGAAAUGCGUAGAGAUCUGGAGGAAUACCGGUGGCGAAGGCGGCCCCCUGGACAAAGACUGACGCUCAGGUGCGAAAGCGUGGGGAGCAAACAGGAUUAGAUACCCCUGUAGUCCCUGUCUCUUAUAA